UGCAGUCGAACGGGAUUGAGAAGCUUGCUUUUCAUGAGAGUGGCGCACGGGUGCGUAACACGUAUGUAACCUACCUUAAUCUGGGGGAUAGCCUCUCGAAAGAGAGAUUAACACCGCAUAACAUUAUCGGAUAGCAUUUUCUGAUAAUCAAAUAUUUAUAGGAUUAAGAUGGGCAUGCGGAACAUUAGCUAGUUGGUAAGGUAAUGGCUUACCAAGGCUACGAUGUUUAGGGGAUCUGAGAGGAUGACCCCCCACACUGGUACUGAGACACGGACCAGACUCCUACGGGAGGCAGCAGUAAGGAAUAUUGGUCAAUGGGCGCAAGCCUGAACCAGCCAUGCCGCGUGCAGGAAGACGGCCCUACGGGUUGUAAACUGCUUUUGUACCGGAAUAAACCUUUUCACGUGUGAGAAGCUGAAUGUACGGUAAGAAUAAGGAUCGGCUAACUCCGUGCCAGCAGCCGCGGUAAUACGGAGGAUCCAAGCGUUAUCCGGAUUUAUUGGGUUUAAAGGGUGCGUAGGCGGUUCUUUAAGUCAGGGGUGAAAGACGGUAGCUUAACUAUCGCAGUGCCUUUGAUACUGAAGAACUUGAAUACACUUGAGGUAGGCGGAAUGUGACAAGUAGCGGUGAAAUGCA
Molecule: ribosomal RNA, 636 nt
Filed under: Mucilaginibacter sp. M67C7A
Lineage: Bacteria; Pseudomonadati; Bacteroidota; Sphingobacteriia; Sphingobacteriales; Sphingobacteriaceae
Description: bacterial SSU rRNA
Rfam family: Bacterial small subunit ribosomal RNA
Source: RNAcentral